RNAcentral lists this ribosomal RNA (429 nucleotides) under uncultured bacterium. RNAcentral's name for it is "bacterial SSU rRNA". It matches the Rfam family "Bacterial small subunit ribosomal RNA", at positions 355 to 775 of the family's 1533-position model. The record is from RNAcentral.
UGGGGAAUUUUGCGCAAUGGGGGAAACCCUGACGCAGCAACGCCGCGUGAGUGAUGAAGGCCUUCGGGUCGUAAAGCUCUGUCAGAGGGGAAGAAAUGCAGGGGUGCUAAUAUCAUCUUUGCUUGACGGUACCCUCAUAGGAAGCACCGGCUAACUCCGUGCCAGCAGCCGCGGUAAUACGGAGGGUGCGAGCGUUGUUCGGAAUUAUUGGGCGUAAAGCGCGUGUAGGCGGUUUGAUAAGUCUGAUGUGAAAGCCCCGGGCUCAACCUGGGAAGUGCAUUGGAAACUGUCAGACUUGAAUACGGGAGAGGGUAGUGGAAUUCCUAGUGUUGGAGUGAAAUCCGUAGAUAUUAGGAGGAACACCGGUGGCGAAGGCGGCUACCUGGACCGAUAUUGACGCUGAGACGCGAAAGCGUGGGGAGCAAACAG